ACGAACGCUGGCGGCAUGCCUAACACAUGCAAGUCGAACGAGACCUUCGGGUCUAGUGGCGCACGGGUGCGUAACGCGUGGGAACCUGCCCUUAGGUUCGGAAUAACUCCCCGAAAGGGGUGCUAAUACCGGAUAAUGUCUUCGGACCAAAGAUUUAUCGCCUUUGGAUGGGGCCGCGUUGGAUUAGCUAGUUGGUAGGGUAAAAGCCUACCAAGGCGACGAUCCAUAGCUGGUCUGAGAGGAUGAUCAGCCACCCUGGGACUGAGACACGGCCCAGACCCCUACGGGAGGCAGGCGUGGGGAAUAUUGGACAAUGGGCGAAAGCCUGAUCCAGCAAUGCCGCGUGAGUGAUGAAGGACUUAGGGUUGUAAAGCUCUUUUACCCGGGAUGAUAAUGACAUUACCGUGAGAAUAAGCCCCGGCUAACUCCGUG
Molecule: ribosomal RNA, 432 nt
Filed under: uncultured bacterium
Lineage: Bacteria
Description: partial 16S ribosomal RNA
Rfam family: Bacterial small subunit ribosomal RNA
Source: RNAcentral